GUGCCUGCUUCCACUGCACAUAUACUAAAAUUGGAACCUUAUAGGGAAGAUUAACAUGGCCCCUGCCAAGGACAACAAGCAAAAUUGCGAAGCGUUCCCUAUUUUU
Molecule: small nuclear RNA, 106 nt
Organism: Pteropus vampyrus (large flying fox)
Lineage: Eukaryota; Metazoa; Chordata; Mammalia; Chiroptera; Pteropodidae
Source: Ensembl